Molecule: ribosomal RNA, 676 nt
Filed under: Halovenus aranensis
Lineage: Archaea; Methanobacteriati; Methanobacteriota; Halobacteria; Halobacteriales; Haloarculaceae
Description: bacterial LSU rRNA
Rfam family: Archaeal large subunit ribosomal RNA
Source: RNAcentral
CUCACUCCGGGAGGAGGACACCGGUAGCCGGGCAGUUUGACUGGGGCGGUACGGGCUUGAAAAGAUAUCGAGCCCGCCCCAAGGCCACCUCAGCCGAGUCGGAAACUCGGCGGAGAGCGCAAGAGCAAAAGGUGGCUUGACAGUGUUCUUCCCAACGAGGAACGCUGACGCGAAAGCGUGGUCUAGCGAACUUUUGCGCCUGCUUGAUGCGGGCCAAAAAUGACAGAAAAGCUACCCUAGGGAUAACAGAGUCGUCACCCGCAAGAGCACAUAUCGACCGGGUGGCUUGCUACCUCGAUGUCGGUUCCCUCCAUCCUGCCCGUGCAGAAGCGGGCAAGGGUGAGGUUGUUCGCCUAUUAAAGGAGGUCGUGAGCUGGGUUUAGACCGUCGUGAGACAGGUCGGCUGCUAUCUAUUGGGGGUGUAUUGGUGUCUGACGGGAACGCCCGUAUAGUACGAGAGGAACUACGGGUGGUGGCCACUGGUUUACCGGUUGUUCGAGAGAGCACUGCCGGGCGGCUACGCCACACGGGGUAACGGCUGAACGCAUCUAAGCCGGAAACCCACCUGGAAAAGAGACACCGCUGAGACCACUCGUACAAGACGAGAUCAAUAGACUCGGGGUGUACGCGUCGAGGCAACGAGACGUUCAGCCUGCGAGUACUAACUGGUCGAAGC